RNAcentral lists this long non-coding RNA (349 nucleotides) under Daucus carota (carrot). Its description in RNAcentral is "long non-coding RNA (DCAR_LNC002988)". The record is from RNAcentral. Lineage: Eukaryota; Viridiplantae; Streptophyta; Magnoliopsida; Apiales; Apiaceae.
UCAAUUUGACCAUAAUCUGAGUUAACCGGCUUUUUAGACGGGUUUGCACUCGUUUCAAUAUGACCAUUUGCUGGUUUUCGUCCUUGUCCUUGCAGAGUAUCCCUUGAUGACCUGCAAAAUGCAUGUUUGAUUCAAAGAUUAGAUAAUUAAUUAAGAACCCAGACUAUAUAUCUGUUAGAAGAUAGAUAGAACAAAAAAAUGGUAAGAAAGUGGUAUUUCAAAACUACCUGAGAGCUAGCUGAGAAAAAUCAUCUUCAGGCUCCUCAUCCUCGUGAGUCACAUUGACUAAAGGGACAACUGAAGUUUGUGUUUGUCCUACUCUUGGAGCAGCUGUUCCUUUUGCAAUGUC